AGCUUGGAAGAUAGUCACAUGGGGAAAAUAAGGGGAAGGUGAGUCUGACCAAUUUAACCACAUGGAAUCCUACAACCUUUCUUCUUUUUAUAUAGGACCUUUGUCAGAGGCAUUUGAUCUACAGUGGAAAGAGCAUGCAUCUUGGAACUAAUGGAUCUUGUCCUUGGUUCAGGGCCUGCUACUUACUAGCUUUGUGCCCUUGAGCAAGUCCCUUCCUACCUCUGGGUUUUGUUCCCUUAUUUGAAAAAUGUCAACCCCAUAAAGUUAUUUUGAGGAUUUUAAAGAAAUAAUGGAUGUGAGCAUCCUUUGUAAAAUAUAAAUUAUCUUGCUCUUUUUCACACUGGGAGAUGCCUCAAGGCUGUUCAACAUAUUGCGUUCAACUCUUAUGUAAAUAAGGUUAAAGAGAAAUAUUACCAAUUCAGGAAGAAUUGCUGUUUUAAUAAACAGUAUGAGGGGGAAAAUUCCACUAAUACUUAACAUCCUUCUUUGUUUAUUAGUCCACUAGACAAAUUUUAUUGAAUGCAUCAUCACUGUUAUCAAAAAAGAUUUGAGUGUCUAUCUAUUAUUCAGUUAUUCAGUAAACAUUUAUCAAAAGCUCAAGUGAAACGUCCCAGGUUAGCCCCCGUGAGUGAACCAGCCAGGAAAAAGGAGAAUAGAAUCCACAUUCAGAAGGAGAUGGUUAUAACAAGUCAAGGCUGUGCUGGAUAAGUUUUGUAUUUCUAGGAAUUUCUAGAAUCACAUCACAUUGGACAUGAAUGCUUCUAUAGCAUCUCACCCCAUUUGACUCUUACCUCAUGCAUGAAUUUUGUUUAUACUUUGAUAACUAAAAAAAAAAGUCACUCUCUGGAGAAUAUUCUAUUUCUAAUAGAUCUAAUUAUUAGAAAACUCUUCCUUGUAUUUACCAUUUGGUCCUGUCUUACGGCUGUGUAGCUUGCUUCCUCUUGUACGUGAUGACCACCACUCGGAUAUUUGAAGAUGCCACUUCCCAUGCCCAGGGUCCCUUCCCUUCACUGUCCUCCUUUGCCUCUUAGCCUACUCAGCUUUUUUUUUUCAUGUGUCCUUCUCAAAGUGUUGCAUCCAAUCUGACCUCAAAAAUUCUAGGAGUGGUUCUACCAGAGUGGAAUUGAACAGGACUCUUAUCUCCCUCCAUGUUCAAAGUUCCCACUGACAUUUAUAGUCAAAGAGAUACUGGAAAACCCUGAACUUGUUAACAUAAAAGUGCAGGUCCUUCUGUAUAUGUGUGUGAUGAUAUAUAAGUGAUUCUAUAUCUGUGAAGGUUUUUCCUUUAGAAUUAGAUCUACAACUUCACAAUUACAUUUACUAAAUUUUAGUUUUAGAUGUUGGCAUAAGCUGCCUCUAACACAAGUUAUUUCCACUAUGGAACUCUCCCUACUAGGAUCAUGGGGAGAAUUAUUCAAGGGCUCAUGCAUAGUUUAUAAUUCAUGCAUUGCCUCUGAGAGUACACCUGGGGUUCACUUUUAAUCACUUCCCACAGUUCCGUUUAUGAUGUCAGUGUUCUUCAAUUUCUCCACAGAAGUUGCCAGAGAAAGGCAUUUGAUUUAUACCAGCAAGAAUCUCCCAUUAAAAUGUUGAAUAACCCUUUCCUUCAGCAGUCAAAAAACAAUUAAAAACUGACACAGGAGUCAGAUAGGGACACAGAUAUCAACUUUAUUGUUGAUAAAAUUAAAGUAUGCAGAAUGGCAUCAGCCAAGAUUGUAUAGCCCUUUUGCCGAUUUCACGGUUAGAGGCACUCUGUGCUCCUAUGAGCUUCCCUACCUCAUGACAACCAGAACAAAAUGGAGAACCAAUACCCUGCAGGCAGCAAGAUGGACAGCAGAGAAAGGGAGCCCAGAGAGACAGAGCUGCAUGCUAAGGCUGGAGCCCAGUUUCCUACAGCAGAUUCACUCCUCCCCCGGGGUGCGGUAGAAGCACUAAUUCUGAAGAGUGAACUUCUCCAUCUUCUAAGCCAAAGAGGAAUACUGAGCAAUGGAGGGAAGAGUCCCGUCAUACCUCCUUGCACUUACAAAUGGGCACAGAGUCCCUUGACCCUUGUCAACUGCAGGAUGGUGAGGCUGGCUUGUGGGAGUGCAAGUACUCCUUCCGAGGUGACUUCCCUGUCUACACACAAGGACCUGGAGCCAUGCAGGUAGAUAGCCCCAGUGUUAGCCUGGGAACUGCUCACAUUAUGCCCAGCACAUCAUUUCCCUCCCUUGGAAUCUCAUAGUCUGUCAGGGCCGGUAUGACUUGUUGUUAGACACCUGGACGUGGAGGGAACUAUCUGCUCUGUGGGUCUGCUUUUCUUUUCUGAAGCCCCUAUCCUCCACUGUGCCACCCUGUGUGAGCCUGGAACAGCAAACUGCUGACCCUGAUGAAGAAUAUCGCCGUUGACAGGCCCCUUCACCCUACUCCUCGUGAACCUUUUAGAAUUCCAUGUUUAUAUUCUUCUCCCUUCCAGAUUCCUCUUUGACCCUAUCAGCAAAGCCUGGAGAGGUUCCCCCACUGUCACUGUCACCCAUCAUGAUCAUCUCCUUCUCUUUUAAUUUCUGGGACCAAAUAGUUCUCCUCACCUGUGCAGAUUACAUGGGAGCUUCUGCAAUCUCUUGUUCUACUCUAGAACAAUUAAAGUAUAGAGCAUAUCUUUUCAGUGUUUCUUCUUGAGGUGUGUGUUUCUAUAUCUCCUUCUCCUUCCAGGAGGUAGUCAGCAUCCCAUCAAACAAACGUGGCUGUUGGGCCCAUUUGCUUCUUAGGUGUGGUGGCUGAAGAAAAGCCUAGUCGUAGAUCUCCAUAUGCACUAUUUAGAAGAUACAUUUAUAUUAGGAUUAAUUACCCAAACCUUCCCUCACCCCUUCCCCUUUUAAAAAAUAAUAAUCCCUCUGUUCUUUUUAAAAUCAUUCCAUAACCAUUACCUCAUUUGGGCCUCAGAAGUAUCUCCUAAGUAAGGCAAAUCAUGAUUCUAUCUUCCCAUUUUAUAUUCACAGACAGAGCACAAAAAGGCGGCGUCAUUAAUGAAAGACUUAGGAAAGAGCUGGGGCAAUGCUGGAAUUGGACCCCAUAUCUGACCCCGAAGCCAGCACACCUAGUAGGGUAUCUGUGUGUACAGACCUUACGGGACAGUUAGCAGUUACCAGGGCUCCAUGGCUGACAAGAUGCUGCCCAACAAGACGUCAGCACCAUCAGCCCCCAGUCGAAUGUCCUGUUUUGAGAAGGAACAUCCCCUGAGCAAAUGGAAAGAGUCAUUUAUUGUGGGAGAUAAGGCAAAACAAAACAAAGCACGCAGGUCUGGGUGAUAUUUCCUUGGUAAGAUUCAGAGUUAAAGGGAACUGGAAACUGAUAGGAGAUGCAGGGGAUUGACACUAAUUCUGUGAAAGUGGUUUGGGAUGUUAUCACAGCACAAGUGGACUAAAGGAAGAACAAACACUCAUUUUGUCCUGAAAUAACUCUGGUCCUAUCUGUUAAAUUUACUGAAAACAUUGGUUGGACUGGAAGCAGCACUUCCUCAUUUACGUAUUCGUCCAGAUUAUGUUAAUAAGAAGAGUGAAUUACAGACUCGCAUCCACAAGGAGCUAGUAACAUUAUGAAGGUCUGCCUUUCAUGAAGAUCUGUAUGUUAGCCUUUCCAUUCUUUAUGAAAAUGAAAGCAUUAUUAAAAAGAAGAGAGACAGUAGACAGUUCAAAACUCCCACCAAGAAAACCUCGGCUAUUUUGGAUAACAUGUAUGCCAAAUUAUUCCACUUUAACGGAAAGAGAAAACUAAUGCAGAGGAAUCCAUGUGUGCAGAUGACUUGAGUGCCUCCACUCAUCUCCCAAAGCAGCACAUUUUCAAAGGGCAGAGAUAGCCUCCUGCGAUGCCCCUUUUGUUUGUUUAAUUUCCUCACAAUGCAUCAUUCUCAGAGGAGACAUGCCCAAGUUCUCUCUCCCCAGCGUUGUUUUCCAACCUGGUUACCGCUGCAUGCAUUUUUAAAUGACAAGGCAGCUGGGUCUAAACUUUGAUAUGCUGAGAGAAAACCCAAACUGACAGUUGGAGGAGGCAGAAAGAGGGAGGCCCUGCCCAUUCCUCUCUCAUCCCAAAUGUCAUCCCUUCCUUGUCCAGGCUGCCCGGGCAACCCUGAUGAAGAAACGAGCAGACACUUGAAAGUUUCUGACAGGUGUCAUGGGCGCAGGCACUGAGAAGCCAGGAGUGAUGGAGCUUGACGUGACAGUGGCAGAGCCAUUGAGGCUGGCUCCGGGACAUGCAGAGUUUGGUGUAUGUCACUUCCAAUCCUUGUCACACUCCUAUUCCAUAAUGGUAACUCCAAAUGGACAGAGCCAGCGGGAAGUGUUCACAAAACUUAAAAACAUCCUUUCUUGACCAAGUGAUGUUGCCAAGCCUCAGUAAUGUAAGACCAGCAAGCGGGUAUGCUCUAGCUGGGCAGGGUCAGGAGUGGGAGGCAAGGCUCAUCACACUGGUUUGGUGUGAAAUUUUUGCUUGCUCUCUUUCUUUGUACUCUGCCUGGCCUUCCAAGUCAAGGAUAAGAGUCCCCAGUUCCUUUCCGCCUUUCUGCUUUUAAUUUUUGUUCUGCCAGCAUCUUCCUCCACCAGUCACUUCCAGUGUCUCUACUAUCUUGAAUAUCAUGAUCUUUGCAGCAGAUCCUGCUUGAUCUAAAUGUUUGGCAAUCCUGCUUUUCUGACCUCUCUGGAGAGAGAUUUAUAAGGGGGAGAGGAGAGCCAGCAUCUUGGUAACACUGUGCAAAUAAUUUCAUAAAUAUCACUCCAUUGCAUUAUUUUGAAAUAUUACUUCUUUUAACAAUCUGCCAAAGUCAAAUAACUCUGCUAAAUAAAAAUCCAUGGCUAGGCCUCUCACUCACCCAAAGUAACAGGUGGUAACCAACCUCACCUGGUGGGAGAGGCUGGCUUGAUUAACUCCAGCCCAGAAGUAUUGGUUAACUGGCAUUAAGGCAUGAUGGAUGACAGCAGGUGUCUGCAUAAUCUUUUACCCAGCAUUCCAGCCAACUAACAGGGGAUGUAUUUAUUUAAUAGUUCUUAACUCAAUACAUUGGCUUGGAGUUAAGCAUUUUCAAAUAACAUAAGGACCUUAUAAGUACAUUCAUUUUAAAAAAUCCAAUCAAUAAUUAUUUGGUAAAAAGUCAGUAGCACUUACAGACUCGGUCUGGUUUGAAAACUCCUUGGAGCCUCAGGCAAAGUGAUAAAUCAACUAUGGUGUGACUGCCUCUCUCUCCAGAUGCCAAGAGUCAGUGCUGAGAUGGAAAGAGAAUUCUGGUGUCACUGUGACCCAAGUUGAGCCUGAAAUUUGAGAAUGGCAGGGGUCCAGAGGAGAUAUUUUUAUUGCAAACUGCACUGCAGAGUGUCGAGAUAAGUUUGGACCACAUGCUCUGUUGUAUCUCAGCUUCAGCCAAUUUCUGCUCUGGUUUUGGGCUUGGUGACUGGAGGUGACCCUUUUAACAGAUAUCUCCUUUCCAGAGGGCCUGCCUGAACACAAUGCUGGUGUCAUUGUGUCAGGACCCAUAAGUCCUUCCUGUGUGCACAUCACCCCUGGAAACUCAUCCUUUUUCAUAACUCCAAGUUAUAUAUCUAUAGUGUUGACUGAUAAGUAUGUCUUCCUAACCAGUUUUAUCUUCCAAUCUCUAACUGUGCAUCUCUCUACUGACAGUAACCCCUGAAACAUGUGUAUUUUAGGCUGAAGGAACAUGCUUGCUCCCAUCAGCUGUGUCCUCUGCUGGGCUUCCUAUUCUGGGUGUGGUUCUGUCCUUCUCCCUGGAGCCCUGCCUCCAAAUCUCAGCAGGACUUUGAAAUCUCCUCUUCCUUUGUUCCCUAGAGUCAAGCAUCAUCCAGAACUGUAACUUUUCUCAUAUAUAACCUUCUACAACUGCCCCACUUUGAUUUUUGAAAUAAUGUUUUUAUAAUUUGUAAAUAAUGCAUGUUCAUUACAAACAUUUCAAACAUAUGGCAAAGCAUACAGAAGAAAAGCACAACCAAACAAAAUAAAAAAUAAAAAUAAUAUAGAAAAUCAGGAGUUCCCAUCAUGGCGCAGUGGUUAACGAAUCCGACUAGGAACCAUGAGGUUGCGGGUUCAAUCCCUGCCCUUGCUCAGUGGGUUAAUGAUCCGGUGUUGCCCUGAGCUGUGGUGUGGGUCACAGAGGCGGCUCGGAUUCCGCAUUGCUGUGGCUCUGGCAUAGGCUACCAGCUAUAGCUCCGAUUCGACCCCUAGCUUGGGAACCUCCAUAUGCCACGGGAGUGGCCCAAGAAAU
Molecule: long non-coding RNA, 6244 nt
Filed under: Sus scrofa (pig)
Lineage: Eukaryota; Metazoa; Chordata; Mammalia; Artiodactyla; Suidae
Description: lncRNA (ENSSSCG00000055136.1)
Source: RNAcentral